CCCACCACCACCAUACUACUACCAUUCACCACCCCCUCCGGUGAAAUCUCCUCCUCCCCCAUAUUACUACCAUUCACCACCCCCUCCCGUGAAAUCUCCUCCACCACCAUACCAUUACAGCUCACCACCCCCUCCCGUCAAAUCUCCACCACCACCAUAUUACUAUCAUUCACCACCCCCUCCAGUCAAGUCUCCUCCUCCACCGUACCAUUACAGCUCACCACCCCCACCAGUAAAAUCCCCACCACCACCAUAUUAUUAUCAUUCACCACCCCCUCCAGUCAAGUCUCCUCCUCCACCGUACCAUUACUCCUCACCACCACCUCCGGUGAAAUCCCCACCACCACCAUACCUAUACAACUCUCCACCGCCACCAGUAAAAUCUCCCCCACCUCCAGUCUACAUCUACGCUUCUCCGCCACCUCCCACACAUUACUAGGCUCGUCAAAUUCAACAAAAUUUCCCCAUUAUUCAAGUAAGUCCAACACUCCAAGCUACACUCUCAACUUUAAUUAAUCCAUCAUGCAUGCAUCCGUUUUAAUAGGUAGCGUUCC
This 554-nucleotide long non-coding RNA is filed under the name Capsella rubella. Its description in RNAcentral is "long non-coding RNA (CRUB_LNC003407)". Lineage: Eukaryota; Viridiplantae; Streptophyta; Magnoliopsida; Brassicales; Brassicaceae. The record is from RNAcentral.